RNAcentral lists this transfer RNA (68 nucleotides) under Rattus norvegicus (Norway rat). It matches the Rfam family "tRNA". Rfam says of the family: Transfer RNA (tRNA) molecules are approximately 80 nucleotides in length. Their secondary structure includes four short double-helical elements and three loops (D, anti-codon, and T loops). The record is from Rfam by way of RNAcentral. Lineage: Eukaryota; Metazoa; Chordata; Mammalia; Rodentia; Muridae.
GGGGAUUUAGCUCAGUGGUAGAGCGCUUGCCUAGCAAGCACAAAGCCCUGGGUUCGGUCCCCAGCUCG